RNAcentral lists this ribosomal RNA (858 nucleotides) under uncultured bacterium. RNAcentral describes it as "bacterial SSU rRNA". It matches the Rfam family "Bacterial small subunit ribosomal RNA", at positions 94 to 954 of the family's 1533-position model. The record is from RNAcentral.
CACGGCGCACGGGUGCGUAACACGUGGGUAACCCGCCCUCCAAAGGGGGAUAACCCGCCGAAAGGCGGGCUAAUACCGCAUGACAUUCCGGUAGCUUCGGCCGCCGGAAUCAAAGCCCGCAAGGGCGUUGGAGGAGGGGCCCGCGGCCGAUUAGCUUGUUGGCGAGGUAACGGCUCACCAAGGCUUUGAUCGGUAGCCGGUCUGAGAGGAUGGCCGGCCACACUGGAACUGAGACACGGUCCAGACUCCUACGGGAGGCAGCAGUGGGGAAUCUUGCGCAAUGGGCGAAAGCCUGACGCAGCGACGCCGCGUGGGGGAUGAAGCUUCUCGGAGUGUAAACCCCUUUCGACCCGGACGAAACGCCCGCAAGGGCUUGACGGUACGGGUAUAAGAAGCCCCGGCUAACUACGUGCCAGCAGCCGCGGUAAGGCGUAGGGGGCCAGCGUUGCUCGGAAUUACUGGGCGUAAAGGGUUCGUAGGCGGUGUGGUAAGUCGGAAGUGAAAUCUCUGGGCUUAACUCAGAGGCUGCUUUCGAAACUGCCGCGCUAGAGUGCGGGAGAGGAUAGUGGAAUUCCUGGUGUAGCGGUGAAAUGCGUAGAUAUCAGGAGGAACACCGGUGGUGUAGACGGCUAUCUGGACCGUAACUGACGCUGAGACACGAAAGCGUGGGUAGCAAACAGGAUUAGAUACCCUGGUAGUCCACGCCCUAAACGAUGCAUAUUUGGUGUGGGCAGUUCAGUCUGUCCGUGCCGGAGCUAACGCGUUAAAUAUGCCGCCUGGGGAGUACAGUCGCAAGGCUGAAACUCAAAGGAAUUGACGGGGGCCCGCACAAGCGGUGGAGCAUGUGGUUCAAUUCGA